AUCUAGGUGCAGAUGACAAUUGAU
RNAcentral lists this non-coding RNA (24 nucleotides) under Arabidopsis thaliana (thale cress). Lineage: Eukaryota; Viridiplantae; Streptophyta; Magnoliopsida; Brassicales; Brassicaceae. The record is from RNAcentral.